This 484-nucleotide ribosomal RNA is filed under the name uncultured bacterium. RNAcentral describes it as "partial 16S ribosomal RNA". It matches the Rfam family "Bacterial small subunit ribosomal RNA", at positions 30 to 507 of the family's 1533-position model. The record is from RNAcentral.
AUUGAACGCUGGCGGCAGGCCUAACACAUGCAAGUCGAGCGGAUGAAGGGAGCUUGCUCCUGAAUUCAGCGGCGGACGGGUGAGUAAUGCCUAGGAAUCUGCCUGGUAGUGGGGGAUAACGUCCGGAAACGGGCGCUAAUACCGCAUACGUCCUGAGGGAGAAAGUGGGGGAUCUUCGGACCUCACGCUAUCAGAUGAGCCUAGGUCGGAUUAGCUAGUUGGUGGGGUAAAGGCCUACCAAGGCGACGAUCCGUAACUGGUCUGAGAGGAUGAUCAGUCACACUGGAACUGAGACACGGUCCAGACUCCUACGGGAGGCAGCAGUGGGGAAUAUUGGACAAUGGGCGAAAGCCUGAUCCAGCCAUGCCGCGUGUGUGAAGAAGGUCUUCGGAUUGUAAAGCACUUUAAGUUGGGAGGAAGGGCAGUAAGUUAAUACCUUGCUGUUUGGACGUUACCAACAGAAUAAGCACCGGCUAACUUCGUG